Molecule: ribosomal RNA, 498 nt
Filed under: uncultured Eubacteriales bacterium
Lineage: Bacteria; Bacillati; Bacillota; Clostridia; Eubacteriales
Description: bacterial SSU rRNA
Rfam family: Bacterial small subunit ribosomal RNA
Source: RNAcentral
AGAGUUUGAUCCUGGCUCAGGAUGAACGCUGGCGGCGUGCCUAACACAUGCAAGUCGAACGGGUGUACGGGAUGGAAGGCUCCGGCCGGAAGCCCCGUGCAUGAGUGGCGGACGGGUGAGUAACGCGUGGGCAACCUGCCCUGUACAGGGGGACAACACUUAGAAAUAGGUGCUAAUACCGCAUAACGGGGGGAGCCGCAUGGCACCCCCCUGAAAACUCCGGUGGUACAGGAUGGGCCCGCGUCUGAUUAGCUGGUUGGCAGGGUAACGGCCUACCAAGGCGACGAUCAGUAGCCGGCCCGAGAGGGCGGACGGCCACACUGGGACUGAGACACGGCCCAGACUCCUACGGGAGGCAGCAGUGGGGGAUAUUGCACAAUGGGGGGAACCCUGAUGCAGCGACGCCGCGUGGGUGAAGGAGCGUUUCGGCGCGUAAAGCCCUAUCGGCAGGGAAGAAGGAGGACGGUACCUGACUAAGAAGCCCCGGCUAACUACGUG